Molecule: long non-coding RNA, 474 nt
Organism: Xenopus laevis (African clawed frog)
Lineage: Eukaryota; Metazoa; Chordata; Amphibia; Anura; Pipidae
Exons: 2
Source: RefSeq, a predicted model, not a curated record
GGAUUCAACUGAUGUAAAUACCCCAGAAGCAGAAGUUCCCAGAGAAAUAUUAAUGAGAUGUAGGUGGUAUCAGCGCUGACAUGGAAGUGGCACCAAUUGCAACAAUGGAGAUGGACGUGCUGUUAGAGAGGAUCACAAACACAAAUGAAGUUUCCUCAUAUAUGGUAGUGGUGACCUUACAUGCAGUAACAAGAGGAGCUUUACAUCAGGGCUCCUUGUGCUGCUGUUCACUUCGUAGAUAGAAGAAAGUUACAGAAGAGAGUGGACACCCAUAGACACAAAAAUUGCAACAAUAAAGAAGCUAAUUCAAGGGAGCCCAUCCAUUAGACAGCUCCAAAGCAAUAACAGAAAUGCAAGGGAACUGCAUACUAUUUGCAAUGGGAGCUCCUUUUUUAUCCAUUUGGUAUAAAGCAAUGAUCCCCAACCAGUGGCUCCGAGCUGAGAGGAUACUCAAGCCUAAUAAAUCAUUUGUUU